Molecule: long non-coding RNA, 827 nt
Organism: Dreissena polymorpha
Lineage: Eukaryota; Metazoa; Mollusca; Bivalvia; Myida; Dreissenidae
Exons: 7
Source: RefSeq, a predicted model, not a curated record
GGGACCAAACCAAAUAGGCUUGCAAUGCGCAUGCCCAAGCAAAACCGAUUGUAAGCCAUCUUGAAUUGUUAGCGUGAAAAGAAAUAUACUACAUUUAUUGGAUAUUUUAAUAUGAUGAAUAUUCUAGGUAGAGAAUAUGGAUAGUAUUAUCAUUAUUAGUAUUACGUCAACAUUAACUCAACAAUUGUAUUGUUGACAUGAAGAAAAAGCUAUUUCGAGGUUGUUUUGACCAUUGAUUGCUAAUAACACCUGGCGCCGUGACCUGGAUGCAGAUUCUAAGCAGAUGGGCAAAAAUGGGGGCAGCUAGAGAGACUCGCCUGGAACUGACAAGCCUGGAGGGAGCUGGUUGACUGUUGGCGAGAUGGGACAACAGACGAAGAAUAAACGAACCUACUUGAUUUGAUAAACAUUUUUAUGUUUUUCAGUUUCGUCGGAAGACAUUUCCCACCAACCAUCCUGUCUUGAAAGAAAUAACUUUUGAACCCGAUUAUCUGAUAUUUUCCAGUUUCCCCUCACAACAAUUUGCAUCAAACCUCUUGUCUGGGACAUUUGACAGAUUUCCGGGACAGCGGGACAAGUUCUUCAUUUCCGGGACUGUCCCGGAAAAUCCGGGACGUAUGGCAUCUCCUCAGCUGAAAUCAUCAUCUAGCAGUCACAAUAGUUGAGCGGUUGGAGAGGCAUGCAUUGCGUCCUACUACUGCUCAGACUAUAUUAUGUUUGGCAGACAAAACAUGCUGAUCAAAAAGAAUGUGUACCACAGGGGCCAGUGUUUCCAUUUGAGUGAUUGACAAGAAGAAGAAGAGAUGAUAAAUGUUAUCAUCAUAUUU